RNAcentral lists this ribosomal RNA (256 nucleotides) under uncultured bacterium. Its description in RNAcentral is "partial 16S ribosomal RNA". It matches the Rfam family "Bacterial small subunit ribosomal RNA", at positions 524 to 776 of the family's 1533-position model. The record is from RNAcentral.
UACGAAGGGGGCUAGCGUUGCUCGGAAUCACUGGGCGUAAAGCGCACGUAGGCGGCCAUUCAAGUCAGAGGUGAAAGCCCAAGGCUCAACCUUGGAACUGCCUUUGAUAUCUGUUUGGCUUGAGACCGGUAGAGGUAAGUGGAACUGCGAGUGUAGAGGUGAAAUUCGUAGAUAUUCGCAAGAACACCAGUGGCGAAGGCGGCUUACUGGACCGGUUCUGACGCUGAGGCGCGAAAAGCGUGGGGGAGCAAACAGG